Clupea harengus (Atlantic herring) is the source of this 1124-nucleotide long non-coding RNA. The record is from Ensembl. NCBI's taxonomy places the organism in Eukaryota, Metazoa, Chordata, Actinopteri, Clupeiformes, Clupeidae.
CCUUGUUUUGCUUCCGGGUGCCCAUCAGUUUGUAUGGUGGUGUGGGAUUGCAAAUUGCACUACUUGGACUAAUGCUGUUACCGAAGCACGAGUGGUUCAAAGCCAGUGUAGCGGUUGCUCUGACGCCGGGUGCUCGGUGGGAAUCAGCUGGAGCUCCGUCCAUGACUCGCUGUCCCUGAGUGUGCAGUCAUUGCAGCUCGGCACGUUGAGCUGAGGGUCAUCCACUGCCUCCACCCGGGAAGGGCUGCUGUUCUGUUUUACUGUCAAAUACAUGUUUAUAAUUGACCGGCAUGCUCAUGCUUGGUGUGUAUCUCUCUGUGAUUUCCUGCAUGCAUGGGGCUAGGCUGGGUAUGCUACCUUCCAUCUCCGCUUGCUCUGCCUGAUAUUGUUUUGUUGGUUUCUUUUGAUUUGAUGCAUGGGGCUGUGCAGUGGGCUGCUGCUUUUCCCUCUCUGCUUGGCCUGCAUGUUUUGUUGUUUUGUGCUGCUGCUAUGUUAACUAUGGUGGUGGUAAUUCUGAAUGAUUGUUAACUAGCCUAACCGUGUCUUUGCUGAACUGCGUGCGUGUGCCUCUGUGUGUGGGUGUGUGCAUGUAGCUAAGGUAACCCAGGGUACUGUGACAAAGCCCGCUACUCCCAGCUGACCGUCGGAGGUCCACCCCGUCCUAAGUCCCUCCGCCAAAGCUAAGUAGCCUCAGUAGGAUAGCCACACUAUUAAAUCCUCUCCCUGCCUCUUUACUGUCAAGUGUUUUGCUAACCCCAGUGCCUCUAUCUCUCUCCCUGGACAGGUGCAGUGAGUUUCACUUGAGCGACAGGCUGACCCCCAGGUGGUGGAGCCCACCCCCUCACUUUUCCUUGCUGUGUGCAUAACGGUUGCCCUAUUUUGGAGUGCAGUGCUUACUGGUUUUAUGCACGUGUGGUGUGUGUCUUCUGGGCCUCUCCUGUCCCCCUCUUGGAAAGUCCUGCUCGCUGCGGUAAGCCACUGCCCUGCUCCACCUUUGAGUCCUGACCACUGGCCCAUCUCCGUAAGGCUUUGGCCAUCUCACCUGCUCAUAUUCGGGUCAUAGCCCACUGGCUAACAUUGUACGUGUCUACUGUGUGUGUUUAGUGUAUGUGUGUACGCUGGAA